CAGAAUUUCUUCCCUCCUACCUCCCUUAAAAAAAUAGAAGAGAGAGAAUGGAAAAGAGAAAAUGAUUGGGUGCCUAUCAUGGUAACAUAGGAUGUUGCAAUGGACAUUUUGGGAGACCCUAAGAUGACAGAUAUAAAGCACCAAAUGAGACCCCAGAUUGGGAUGCAAAUGUUCAAAAUAGAGCCAGUUAGACCCCAGCCCCGAGUCCCAAAUUGAGUGGUAAGAAAAGAUGGAAUUCUAAAGGGGAUUUCUCUGGUAAGAAUCAUUGAUAUGUGUUAUAGUUUGGAUAUGAGGUGCUCCCUGCUCCACUGUGCCCCAAAAUCUCAUGUGUGAGAUAAUGUAGAAAUAUUCGGACUGAAUGAUUAAAUUGUGAGUGUUCUAACCUAAUCACUGGAUUAAUCCAUUUGAUGGAUUUGAUUGAACUAACUGGGUAGAAAGUAUGGGCAGGUGGGGCACAGGUGCAGGGAGUUGGUCACUGGGGGGCAUGCCUUUGGGGUUUAUAUUUUGGCACUUUACUCUCUCUCUGUUUCCCAGCUGCCUUGAGUUGAGCAGCUUUUCUCUAUCACAGCCUUCCAGCUCACCUCAGAGCAAUGGAUUUGACCAACCAUGGACUGAACCUCUGAAACUGUGAGCCUGAAUAAACUUUCCCUCCUCUUAAGUUGUUCUUGUCAAGCAUUUUGGCCAUACCAACGUAAAGCUGAGAGAGCAUGCUACCAAUCCCAGUCUAUGUCCCCACUUCCAACAGAAAGGGAUGAGCAAUUCUAUUCCUUCAGUUGACAAUAAUUGGAGAAGCAUCAAAUGACCACUCAGUGAGCUUGAUGUAGGGUAGAUAAGGGCAAUGGCUUCAAUGUGUCCCCAAAUAUUCUAGGGAUAAUAACACAAAUACACUUAGAAUCAAUAUUUUACCACUUUGUGUGUGUGUGCAGUAAAGGAUUGACUCGGCAGGCUCAAGAUGUGCACAUUCCAAAGAAAGUUUCUAGUCCUUGCUGGCCUUCUUGGAUAAGUCCUUGGACUAUCCUGCCUGACAAGAGUGUCUUUAUAUUCCUGGGGUCUUGGGCCUGCCAGAUAGCUUAUGCUGUCUGUAAUUAUAAUCCCCAGUGCAACAGUGCUGAAAGGUGAUUUGGUCAAGAGGGUUUUGCACUCCUGGAUGUACUAGUGCAAGAGUGGGUGAGUUAUCACUGGAGUGGACUCCUGAUAAAAGGAUGAGUUUGGCUGUCUUCCCUCUCACUUUCUGUCACUCAUAUGAUGCCUUCUGCCACAUCAUGACUCAACAAGACUCAACAAGAUUAUAAGAUGUAGCUACUUGAUUUUGAACUUCCCAGUCUCCAGAACGAAAAGAAUGGAGAAGCCUCAUCAGAAGAAGUUACAAGUAUUACUAGUGGAUGUGUCAGGGCUACAGAAAGAGCAAACAGAAAGGUGGAGGAGAAGACUUAGGCACAUCAAAGGGAGAUUUCAGAAGGGAAGAAUCUGGAACCAAACCAUGAGCUCAAGGUAUCAAAGGUGGGGCAGCUCAGAUCCUGCUACGUCAUGUGCUUUGGGAAUUACUGGCUGAAUUAAGUUCUUCAAAGUCAGGUUGGUGACUACAUACUGACUUCCAACAAAAGGAAGAGGCAGCGUUUGAAACAUAAGAAGGCAGGCAAUGUUGGACCUUUGGCCAAAUCUGAUGAUGCU
Molecule: long non-coding RNA, 1671 nt
Organism: Sciurus carolinensis (gray squirrel)
Lineage: Eukaryota; Metazoa; Chordata; Mammalia; Rodentia; Sciuridae
Exons: 3
Source: RefSeq, a predicted model, not a curated record